Molecule: long non-coding RNA, 711 nt
Filed under: Equus caballus (horse)
Lineage: Eukaryota; Metazoa; Chordata; Mammalia; Perissodactyla; Equidae
Description: lncRNA (ENSECAG00000045386.1)
Source: RNAcentral
CACUAGCCGAGAAAAGCAGGGAGAUAUCUACUGCCUGAGCCAAGCGGUAGAGGGUAGGAAGAAUAGUGUGUGGUAUGAGUGUACAGUUGGGCAAGAUAAUUUUUAAGUACAUCUUAAAGGCACAUAAGUAGGAUUUCAAUAGACUUGCCUAGAGGGAUUCUAGAUGAAGGAAAGAGCAUAAGCAAAGACAGAAAUGGGAAGGGCCUGACCUUGGACUUCUAGAGGGCUAACUUGGAGAUGGGAAGGAGGAGUUGGUGCUGGAAGCUUGAGAAAGAAUCUAAAGGGAAUUGACUCCAGCUAUAUUGCUACUGUGGGUGUGGAAAGCAUCUGCUCAAACAUGACCAUCUGCUUGGAAAAUUCAUUUAAAGUAAAGAUGUGCCUGCCACACAUGCUGGCCUUCUUCUGGAAGAUUAACACACCAAAGAAACUCUCAAUUCAGGAUCCUUGCACCUUGCUGCCUCUUCCUGGCAUGAUCAUCCUCCAGGCCUUUGAGAAAUGUUCCUUUCAUCACCCAGGUCUCAGCUCAAUGGCUCCCCACUCCAAGAGGUCCUUCCUAACCAGCAGAUCUGAAGCUGUCCAGCUCCUUGUCUGGCUUCAUCCCUCUCUGCCCCAUUACCCUGAUCUAUUUCCUUCAUAGACUUCAGCCAUUGUUAAAAGGUAACAUUCAGGAAAAGAUAAAAUCGCAAUCCUCAUGCAGAAAUAAAAACGAAC